GGAAAUGUCAGUUGCAUGAGUCUGUACCAAACAUUGUCAGUGUUCCAGCCAUGCUGGUAAAUGUUUAACAAUGAGCUCUCAAAAAGAAAACCCCGAAUUAUGGCACUUGCCAAUUUCCAUGGUGUAAAUACUCCCACAUGGCUGACAUCAAACUAAAUUAAUGGUUGUCUCCACACAUGUAGCUGGGAAGCAAUGCUCACACCCCAGAGGGAGCUGGCCCCGAACACCCCCCUGUGCCCUCUUGCCUGACCCGGUUUGGACACCAGCUGCCUGGCGGCCAGUGCUGGGGCGUUUUGUCCGGUGCUGCCCUCAGAAGGCACUCUGCCUGAGAGUACGCAAAGCCAGCAGUGCCUGGGAGUUUACAGCCCCCAGGGGGAUCUUGUGGGUACAAAUACUGCAACUGUUGGCUCUGAUUGGCUGGCUCUGGGAUGUGACUUCCUCCCUAGAGGCUGAGCCAAAGGCAUCUUCAGCUGACUUUGCUUGAAGCCUCACCUUGGCUUGGCUUCCUGCCUUUUUUCCUCUCAGUUCCUCUUCCACCUGUCUUUGCAGAUAACUUUCCUGGUAACUUCCUUUCACACGCAACCUUGUCUCAGGGUCUACUUCUAGGGAACCCACGUAAGGCUGCAUCUCUAGAUAUCUUUUUCCCUUAAAUGCCCUGGGGUUUGGGAGAGUUUCCCACUCAAUAAUACUCAGUAAGCUUUCCCAUUAACCCCGCUAUAAGCUUUUCUUGGUUUCCUCUGUGUCUGUGCCCCAAGGUGUGUCUGUCGUGGGGGGAUGAGUCAUGGAGCAAAGUCCUCCCCACUGACUCAGCAAUGCCAUUUCCUGCCCACAACCUUCUAGAACUCUUGCACUUUGACACAAUGGGGACCAGCCCACCCCUGAUUCACCAGCUCAGUUUUCUGUCACAUCCUGUACUUUCCCUGAGGAUUUUUCUGUUCUCCUUCUGACCAGAGUCAACGCCAACCAACCCACAAGCAGCAGAGAACAGAAACGUGGCCAGAUGGUCUCCAAUACGGAUCAAAAACAUAAAGAGGCAAACGUGGAGGGGCGGAAGGUCCUUGGCCCUUUUCUCUUGAAAUUGAGUUCGCUGUGUUGAAAUGUCCAUCGUGUCUGCAUCCCCUUCCUGGUUUUCCCCAAAGAGGCCGUGGCGGGGGAACAGGUGGCGUUCCAUGUGGUGGCAACAUGAAGGGAUCACUCGCCAGCGAGCAUAAUCGCUCUGGAAACAUUCGGAAUACUCAUAUGUUCUGUACUUUUCCCCUGAGUCAAUAAGGUAGAAAUGCAUCAGGAGAAAGUCAAAGGUUUCUGUCAAAAUCCAGACCACAGGGAGAAAAUGACGAGUUGAUGGGGCUCACCCUGUGAUCAAUUUCUCCGUGAACCUGACAGGGAAGUCUUCUUAGAGGGCACCUCAGCGUCUGAAGUUGGCUUUCACAAUGAGCAGAAGGUGAAAAGCUGCCAAACAACAGCCACUUUCAAAAUCCAGUGAAAACAGAACUAAGCCAACAAAGGAAUAACAAGGUCCCAGGUUGCAAAACAAAACAAGUUGGGAAAACUUGUCCAAGAGCUGUACUGAACUCUUGCAUGGGCGCUGACGUACACAAAUCAUCCUCAUCACCUCUGAAACGAGGCAGCUCUAAAUUACUUCUUGAAUUCCAUAUGGUUAAUCUGCAGGCACAGGAACAUGCUUUAGGGUGAAAUUUAGUUGUUGUUGUUUUCACUGGGCUUGCAAUAACAUAUUGUAAAUGACUAAGGCUAGAUGACACUUUCACACCAGUCUUGAAAUCAUCCCAGUGAUCUUGACCCAAUGCCAGAUGAGGAUCUUGGUGCAGAUAAAGCGACUGUGCUUCUUCUUCCUGCAGAAUUAACAUUAACAAUCCUGCACAUUAACAAUCUAGAACUAUGUUAGCCAGGGUAUUUGAGGCAGAAUUCUGAACUGAAAUUGGUCGUCUCCUAGCACAAUGAUUUUUAAAUACAAAACAAGCAAACACACAAAAAGAAAAAAAGAAACAACAAGAAAUUUUAAAAUGUCGUAUCUAUCUUAUGAAAGCCAAAAUGAAAGAUUGGCAACCUUUCCUGAAUAUGGGCAUUGUCCACAUCUAAUCUAGAUGAUGUGGGUCCAGUUUUCUCUUUCUUCAAUCAUCUGAUGUUUUUACAUUCAAAUUGGUAGGAAAAGGAUGCUUUCCAGUUUAAUUUUCUUUAAAAUAAUUUCGCAGAUUUCUGAAUCCAUAUGCAAUUUUUAAGAGCACAGACUUUGGACUCAAAAAUGAGUUUAAAUUCUCAGUCUGCCACUUACAAGAUGAGUAAGGUGAAAAACCCCUUCACCUCUGUAAGCCUCAGUGAAGAAACUUUGAUUAAAUAGAUUCACAAUAGAUUCAAGCGUACUCAAGGGCUGGGGUCUUAACAUCUCUGGAGUGGCUCACAGUGCUGAGCACAUGGCAGACGCCCAAUCAAUUCGUGCAAACAAAUGAACAGAAUCAGAUUUCCAAGGAGUUCUUCAGGAAGUCAAGUAAUGCAUUGACCCUUUCCUUCAGCAUUACAUCCACGGAGCCUGCCUGUCUAAAUGAUUCAGAUCCGCUCUGCAACUCUAUGCAGGAGAAACACAUUUUCCUUUUCUGGUGGAUCAGACAACAGCAGGACUUCUGGAUUAUGUCUUCUGCAUAGGUUGCAGCAGGGAAACAUAGCAUUACGCGUGUAGACAGGGCAGGUUUAAUGCUAGGCAACGUUCUUAAGGGAGAUCAGAAAAGCAACUAGCAUGCCAGGUCUACUGUCCCGGCCCCCAAGGCUCAGCACAGAUAUUUGGAAAACCAGGAGUUGAGCAUUUGACUGGAAAAUAAAAACAACAUAGACUCGUGCAUUUGAUCAGUGAACUUGGAGCGCACACCAUGGAUUAGGCACAGCUGGGCACCGAGGAGACAUCACCUGGCUUAUAAGUCAUCUGUGCCCUCUGGGGACUGACAGUCCAGCUGGGAAUGAGGAUCAGGAGGUCAGAAAUUAAGUAAAGAGCAAAGAAGAAUGCAACAUGAGUAAACGCAAAAAUAAAAAAUAAAAACAAACAAAACAAGUUGGCCCUGACCAUCAGGCAGUAUGGUAUGGAGAAGACCACGGGCUUGUGUCUAUCAGUCAGACCUGCUUUGAGUCUUGGCUCCACCAUAAACCAGAUGAGUUAAGUUUCAUACCCUCUCUAAACGGUCGCCUCAGCUAUACAACAGGCUCAAUGAUAUUCACCCCACAAGAUUGCUAUAAGAAGGAAAUGGUAUGACCUUGGGGCAAGAAGAGGUACCAUUGUCCCCACUGUCCACAGAUGGUGACAUUUGUUCAGGACAACCUGGCCAUUAAGGAGGAGAACUCUAUGAGAACAAGGUCUGCGUCCCUAGAUGGCAUUCAUACAGGUACUCACGAUGCUAAGAGGUAU
This 3409-nucleotide long non-coding RNA is filed under the name Homo sapiens (human). Its description in RNAcentral is "HSALNT0234970". The record is from RNAcentral. Lineage: Eukaryota; Metazoa; Chordata; Mammalia; Primates; Hominidae.